AAGGAGCAUCUAGCUGCCGCAAGGCAGCCAGAGCCACUACGUCGGCGAAUGAUCGACGGUGGUUAGCUCAUGGGUGGAACGUUGACUACUCGGCACACUUGACCUUCUGGUCUUCCUAGUACUGCUUCGGCGUGGAACGGAACGGCUGGGUGGCGAGGGUGUCGGGCACGCUGUUGGGUAUCUGAGGGAGCGAUUAACCCCUCAGUUGCCGGCCCCAGUGCACUCGGACCUGUUGGUUCGGGGUGAUGGGUGGCUGGUCGUUG
RNAcentral lists this unclassified non-coding RNA (263 nucleotides) under Streptomyces eurythermus. RNAcentral's name for it is "partial 16S-23S ribosomal RNA intergenic spacer". Lineage: Bacteria; Bacillati; Actinomycetota; Actinomycetes; Kitasatosporales; Streptomycetaceae. The record is from RNAcentral.